RNAcentral lists this ribosomal RNA (1928 nucleotides) under human gut metagenome. RNAcentral describes it as "bacterial LSU rRNA". It matches the Rfam family "Bacterial large subunit ribosomal RNA", at positions 1000 to 2925 of the family's 2925-position model. The record is from RNAcentral.
AACGUCCAUACGGGAGAGGAAAAGAAUCCGGAUCGCCAGCUAAGGUCCCAAAAUUUGUGUUAAGUGGGAAAGGAUGUAGAGUUGUCAAAACAGCUAGGAGGUUGGCUUAGAAGCAGCCACCCUUUAAAGAGUGCGUAAUAGCUCACUAGUCGAGUGACACUGCGCCGAAGAUGUACCGGGGCUAAACACAAUACCGAAGCUGCGGACUUGCAUGUAAGUGCAAGUGGUAGGGGAGCGUUCUAAGUGCUGAGAAGGUAGACCGUAAGGACUGCUGGAGCGCUUAGAAGUGAGAAUGCCGGUGUGAGUAACGAAAAUUGGGUGAGAAUCCCAUUCACCGUUUGACUAAGGGUUCCUGGGUAAAGUUCGUCUUCCCAGGGUAAGUCAGGACCUAAGAUGAGGCUGAAAAGCGUAGUCGAUGGACAACAGGUUGAUAUUCCUGUACCACCUAUAUGACUGAAGGAGUGACGGAGAAAGCUAACGAGGGCCAGUUAAUGGAUUCUGGUCUAAGUGCGUAGGCUAGUAUGUUGGCAAAUCCGCAAUACUAUAACAGCUGAAACAUGAUGGGGAAGAGAGUCUUCGGACAAUCGAACUUUCAUGAUGCUAUGCUUCCAAGAAAAGCUUCUAGGGUUAAUCGUAUAGGUGCCUGUACCGACAACCGACACAGGUGGUCAAGGAGAGUAUCCUAAGGUGAGCGAGAGAACUAUGGUUAAGGAACUCGGCAAAAUGACCCCGUAACUUCGGGAGAAGGGGUGGUCUAGCGAUAGACCCGCAGUGAAUAGGCCCAGGCAACUGUUUACCAAAAACACAGGUCUCUGCUAACACGAAAGUGGAUGUAUAGGGGCUGACGCCUGCCCAGUGCUGGAAGGUUAAAGAGAUUAGUUAGUAUGACGUAAGUCGAUAAUACGAAGCUUUGAACUGAAGCCCCAGUGAACGGCGGCCGUAACUAUAACGGUCCUAAGGUAGCGAAAUUCCUUGUCAGGUAAGUUCUGACCCGCACGAAAGGCGUAAUGAUCUGGAUACUGUCUCAACCAUAGACUCGGUGAAAUCUUAAUACCUGUGAAAAUGCAGGUUACCCGCAACAGGACGGAAAGACCCCAUGGAGCUUUACUACAGUUUGAUAUUGAAAUCAGGUAUGUCAUGUAGAGGAUAGGUGGGAGACUUUGAUGCUAAGGCGCCAGCCUUAGAGUAGUCAACCUUGGAAUACCACCCUUGAUAUAUUUGAUUUCUAACCUGCUACCGUAAUCCGGUAGGGGGACAGUGUCUGAUGGGUAGUUUGACUGGGGCGGUCGCCUCCCAAAAUGUAACGGAGGCGCCCAAAGGUUCCCUCAGAAUGGUUGGAAAUCAUUCGAAGAGUGUAAUGGCAGAAGGGAGCUUAACUGCGAGACCUACAAGUCAAGCAGAUGCGAAAGCAGGGCAUAGUGAUCUUGCGAUUCAGUAUGGAAUGGUCGUUGCUUAACGGAUAAAAGUUACCCUGGGGAUAACAGGCUGAUCCCACCCAAUAGUUCAUAUAGACGGUGGUGAUUGGCACCUCGAUGUCGGCUCGUCGUAUCCUGGAGGUGUAGUCGCUUCCAAGGGUUGGGCUGUUCGCCCAUUAAAACGGCACGCGAGCUGGGUUCAGAACGUCGUGAGACAGUUCGGUCCCUAUCCGUUGUGGGCGCUGGAAAAUUGAGAAGAGCUAUCCUUAGUACGAGAGGACCGGGAUGGACGUACCGAUGGUGUAUCAGUUGUCACGCCAGUGGCAGCGCUGAGUAGCUAUGUACGGAUGGGAUAACCGCUGAAAGCAUCUAAGCGGGAAGCCCUCUUCAAGAUGAGUUUUCCCUUUCUUUAAGAAAUAAGAUCCCAUGAAGACUACAUGGUUGAUAGGCUAGAGGUGGAAGAAUAGUGAUAUUUUGAGCUGACUAGUACUAAUAGAUCGACAAAUUAAUCAU